RNAcentral lists this ribosomal RNA (309 nucleotides) under Triticum aestivum (bread wheat). Its description in RNAcentral is "partial small subunit ribosomal RNA". Lineage: Eukaryota; Viridiplantae; Streptophyta; Magnoliopsida; Poales; Poaceae. The record is from RNAcentral.
AUGAAUUGCCUAGUGUGGAACUGUCGGGGGGGGGGGAACCCUCGUACAGUUCGUGAUUUACAGGCUCUUUAUAGAGCCAAUUCCCCGAGGAUGGUGUUUCUGUGUGAGACUAGGAAUCACCUGCAAAAGAUGAAAAGGUUGCGAAGUAGGCUUGGGCUUCGUGGUUUUGAGGGCAUAAGUAGUCAAGGAAAGAGUGGUGGCCUAGCUUUGUUUUGGGAUGAGUCCAUGUAUGUCAGCAUUCAGGACGUUAAUGAGAGGUGGAUUGAUGUUUUUGUCAGGGUGGCUCCUCGGAACCUCUUUGGCAAGUGA